Molecule: ribosomal RNA, 469 nt
Filed under: Burkholderia cenocepacia
Lineage: Bacteria; Pseudomonadati; Pseudomonadota; Betaproteobacteria; Burkholderiales; Burkholderiaceae
Description: bacterial SSU rRNA
Rfam family: Bacterial small subunit ribosomal RNA
Source: RNAcentral
UGCAAGUCGAACGGCAGCACGGGUGCUUGCACCUGGUGGCGAGUGGCGAACGGGUGAGUAAUACAUCGGAACAUGUCCUGUAGUGGGGGAUAGCCCGGCGAAAGCCGGAUUAAUACCGCAUACGAUCUACGGAUGAAAGCGGGGGACCUUCGGGCCUCGCGCUAUAGGGUUGGCCGAUGGCUGAUUAGCUAGUUGGUGGGGUAAAGGCCUACCAAGGCGACGAUCAGUAGCUGGUCUGAGAGGACGACCAGCCACACUGGGACUGAGACACGGCCCAGACUCCUACGGGAGGCAGCAGUGGGGAAUUUUGGACAAUGGGCGAAAGCCUGAUCCAGCAAUGCCGCGUGUGUGAAGAAGGCCUUCGGGUUGUAAAGCACUUUUGUCCGGAAAGAAAUCCUUGGCUCUAAUACAGUCGGGGGAUGACGGUACCGGAAGAAUAAGCACCGGCUAACUACGUGCCAGCAGCCGC